GCCAUGCCGCGUGUGUGAAGAAGGCCUUUUGGUUGUAAAGCACUUUAAGCAGUGAAGAAGACCUAACGGUUAAUACCCCGUUAGCGAUGACAUUAGCUGCAGAAUAAGCACCGGCUAACUCUGUGCCAGCAGCCGCGGUAAUACAGAGGGUGCAAGCGUUAAUCGGAAUUACUGGGCGUAAAGCGAGCGUAGGUGGCUUGAUAAGUCAGAUGUGAAAUCCCCCGGGCUUAACCUGGGAACUGCAUCUGAUAUUGUUGGGCUAGAGUAGGUGAGAGGGAGGUAGAAUUUCAGGUGUAGCGGUGAAAUGCGUAGAGAUCUGAAGGAAUACCGAUGGCGAAGGCAGCCUCCUGGCAUCAUACUGACACUGAGGUUCGAAAGCGUGGGUAGCAAACAGGAUUAGAUACCCUGGUAGUCCACGCCGUAAAACGAUGUCUACUAGUCGUUGGGGAACUUGAUUCCUUAGUGACGCAGCUAACGCAAUAAGUAGACCGCCUGGGGAGUACGGCCGCAAGGUUAAAACUCAAAUGAAUUGACGGGGGCCCGCACAAGCGGUGGAGCAUGUGGUUUAAUUCGAUGCAACGCGAAGAACCUUACCUGGUCUUGACAUAUCUAGAAUCCUGCAGAGAUGCGGGAGUGCCUUCGGGAAUUAGAAUACAGGUGCUGCAUGGCUGUCGUCAGCUCGUGUCGUGAGAUGUUGGGUUAAGUCCCGCAACGAGCGCAACCCUUUUCCUUAGUUACCAGCGGUUUGGCCGGGGACUCUAAGGAUACUGCCAGUGACAAACUGGAGGAAGGCGGGGACGACGUCAAGUCAUCAUGGCCCUUACGACCAGGGCUACACACGUGCUACAAUGGUAGGUACAGAGGGCAGCUACACAGCGAUGUGAUGCGAAUCUCAAAAAGCCUAUCGUAGUCCAGAUUGGAGUCUGCAACUCGACUCCAUGAAGUAGGAAUCGCUAGUAAUCGCGGAUCAGAAUGCCGCGGUGAAUACGUUCCCGGGCCUUGUACACACCGCCCGUCACACCAUGGGAGUUGAUUGCACCAGAAGUGGGUAGCCUAACUUUUAGAGGGCGCUCACCACGGUGUGGUUGAUGACUGGGGUGAAGUCGUAACAAGGUAA
RNAcentral lists this ribosomal RNA (1117 nucleotides) under uncultured bacterium. RNAcentral's name for it is "bacterial SSU rRNA". It matches the Rfam family "Bacterial small subunit ribosomal RNA", at positions 391 to 1499 of the family's 1533-position model. The record is from RNAcentral.